UCCUCGAUCCCCAGUUCCCCACAUCCCUCCUCCCCACCAAUCCCCCAUUCUCCCCGCACCCCUCCUCCGCACCCCGCGUCGGGCCGCCGCCGUUUCUCUAUAGCCCUCUCUUCUCGGUCUGCUCGUAAAGGUCGGCCACGAGGAGGUUCACCGGUCCGUUCGUCGUCCUUGUCCCUAGGCGUCUGUUGCUAGAGAGAAGGACGCCAAGGCCCAGCAGUUUGUGACGGCCCCAACGGACGACGGACCCGGCGGGACAGCGGGCUCUAGCUUUCUCUCCCUUCUUCUUCAUCUGGACAGAGAAUGACUCUGCUCAAAUGCAUAGUCAGGCAACACCGGAGAGAGCUGGGACGGAGGCGACUCUGAGGAAGAUGAAGGCCAAGAGCGGUGCCGCCGCAGGGGAGAGGAGGCUGGUGUUCUCGAGGACGGUACUGCUCCUCUACGCCUGCAGCUUCGUCCUUGGCGUGCUCUUCACCGACCGGUUCAGAGCGAUGCCUGAUUUAAAGAGCCAGGUGGUGGUGCAGCUGUGGUGACAGGAAGAGGAGCUACACAUCGUUUCUGAAGAUUUUGUUGCCAAGAUGAAACCAUCUGACGACAGGGACGUGAUGGGGAAGUGGCAAAGACUCAUGAGGCCAUACAACAAGUCGAUCGCCACGCUGCAGAUGGAGCUGGCAGCGCGGUGCAGCAAGCAUGAGCUGCUUAAGAGUGCGGAUGACAAGGCAGGAAAGGAAAAAGGCUUUUGUGGUGAUUGGGAUCAAUACCGCCUUCAGUAGCAAGAAGCGCCGUGAUUCUGUCAGGGAGAGAUGGAUGCCUCAAGAUGAGAAACUCAAGAAAUUGGAAGAGGAAAAGGGAGUCGUCAUUUGAUUUAUGAUUGGGCAUAGGGUUUAAAAUGUGAGUAUGAUGUGCGUGGAGAGAUUGUCAUCCAUGCCCAGGUAUUUCAAGUGACCAACAAGUGCUAUUUCAGUAAUUUGAAAUCUCCUGUAUUCAGAGUUUAGUCAACUCUUAGUCAUGUUCUUUAACAAUCACUAUGUCUAAUAAAUGUUUAGUACGAUGCACUAUUUUUCUGAAUUUUGACAAGCAAGUGCAUCUUUGGUUGCGCCGAUCGGAUCGGAUUCGAUGCGUACAUGGAAUUGAUGGGCUGCUGACCGCUUCAUCUGGUGUUUCCUCUCUCGUGUGAGGUGCAUGUUGUUUUGAGAGCUUGAAGCAGCAGAAAGCCGAUGGAGGGUCUUAGGGAUGACGAAAGCGUCAGUGACGACAUCAGGCGAGAGAGAUAUCGAGACUGCAAAUCGCUUUCCUGUUUUUGCAUUUCUUACUGUUUAUGUAACUUUGUCAGUAUUCAGAUCAUAUAGCCUAUGGGGAGCAGUGUAAAACAUAAUUUGUUGAUGCUUAAAAUUUGGAGUGAUAUGUUUGAUACAUCUGCACUGUUGACAUGGUCUUCUUUAAUGAAUAACAAGGUGGUCCAGUAGAAUUGUAACUUUAGAGCCCUGCAAAUUGUCUGUGCAAAUUAUGAUGCUGGUUUAUAGAACUAAAUUUGUGGCGUGCCUCUAUUUUAUCUUUAGUUGUAGGUUUCUCCGAAGCUUUAUUGUGGGUUGUGUUACUUGCCAAACAAGUUCUAAGCACAAGUCAGAUCCUUUCAUGGCUACCCUUAUAAGAUGAUAUACAAGGAAGUUUGUUGCUUAGUGUAAUUAGACAAGUGCUUGGAUUAUUCUGUAGUGAAAUAAUGUGAUUUUUCAUCUUCUUUCUGUUCUUAGAUCAGCUCACCUUUGGCCUUAGCCAUACAAAGUAAUUUGUGAAGAUAUAUGUUCCUUAAUUUGAUCCCACCUUCCCUGAUUAAACAUAUGUCAUUAAUCGAUUUGAUUAUUGUAUUAGUGUCUCUUAAGUUCGCUGGAAUCGCUUGAUGUUUCCUUUGAAUUUAGAAGAAGAGAUUCCAGCCAUAAGAUUCUUAAGUUCGUUGGCUCUGCGGCCGCAUCAUGGCAAGACGGCCACAAGGCAGCUAUUGCUUCCAGGCACACAAAGGCCACUGAUUGGAUCAGCGCGAAGAAACCCGUUCGGAUUGCCGCCGCAAGCCUCGCGUCAACAACAAAUCAACGUCUGCACCUACAUCCACUUCGACAGGCCGUCAGUCAAAGCAGAAAUUGCAGGAUGUUAUCUGCAUCAAUGAUGAUAGCGGAUCUUCUGAAUCACUUCCUCAGCUUAACAAUGUAAGCUCACUCCAGCAACACAGGAAAUACAAACCAGCUGUUAUCAACAUCAGUGACGGCAGUAAUGAUGGCGGGUCUUCUGAAUCACUUCCUCAGCUUAACAAUGUAAUCUCACUCCAGCGACGCAGCAAAUACAAACCAGCUGUUAUCAACAUCGGUGAUGGUAGUGGCCCUUCACAUCAUCGCAAGAAAGCCAGCAAAGACAAGCAAAAGAAGCACACAUCCGAUGGGGAACCCGGCUGGAAGCUUUGAUGAUCAUUGCGCAUGGGGUAACAAAGUGAAGCUUUACAAAGAUCAAGUCAGAAAAUUGAAGCGUCUCAUCGCUGCAAAAAAAUCACACAUCAAUUGUUACAUUUGCCACAUGAGCCUUCAAGUACCUCCGGAAGUAUACCAUGCAAGCAUUAUGCGACAGUGACACUGCUUAUUCGUAUGUUCACACCUUCUGAAAACCAGUCAGACUAAGAAGAUGACUAAAUAAGCUCUACAACUGCCUAUGUAUGUGUUUCUGUAAAACGAUCUACCUCACUCUACUAUCUCUGAUAAAUUCACAUUGCAUUA
This is a non-coding RNA of Aegilops tauschii subsp. strangulata, 2756 nucleotides long. The record is from RefSeq and is a predicted model, not a curated record. Lineage: Eukaryota; Viridiplantae; Streptophyta; Magnoliopsida; Poales; Poaceae.